Molecule: long non-coding RNA, 2664 nt
Organism: Astyanax mexicanus (Mexican tetra)
Lineage: Eukaryota; Metazoa; Chordata; Actinopteri; Characiformes; Acestrorhamphidae
Exons: 3
Source: RefSeq, a predicted model, not a curated record
GGGGUGGGGGGGUUGAGCGCGGUGCCCAGGAACUCUGCUGGCAGAUGUGACACUCAGGAGGACCGGCACUGUUACAGAACCCAUUAGAGAAUGUAAUGUAGUGACCUGGACCGCUGGCAGCACAGCGCCCGGCAGGACCAAGAUAUCAAUGUGGUGAUAUAUCGUAUUGUUUUCAUUUGUGAUACAUUAUCAAUAUAUGGCAUUAAAUAUGUACAGCUCUGGAAAAAGAUGAAACAUUUAAAAAUGAUGAGUUUCUUUGAUUUUACCAAAUUGAAAACCUCUGGAAUAUAAUCAAGAGGAAGAUGGAUGAUCACAAGCCAAAUAAACCAAGCUGAACUGCUUAGAUUUUUGCACCACAAGUGGUAUAAAUUUAUCUAAAAGCAGUGUGUAAGACUGGUGGAAGAGAACAUGCCAAGAUGCACAAAAACUGUAAUAAAAAAACAGUUAUUCCAACAAAUAUUUUCUCAAAAGAUUUCUCAAACUUUAUGAAUAUGAACUUGUUUUCUUUGCAUUAUUUGAGGUCUGAAAGCUCUGCAUCUUUUUUGUUAUUUCAGCCGUUUCUCAUUUACUGCAAAUAAAUGCUCUAAAUUACAAUAUUUUUAUUUGGAAUUUGGAAGAAAAGUUGUCCGAAGUUUAUAGAUUAAAAACAACAAUGUUCAUUUUACAAAUGUUAAAUUUAGCUUGUCGUGAUAAUUAUGUCAUUAAAUUAUCAUACACUAUAUGGACCUAAAUUAUGAAAUAAUUAUUUUUUUGCUGACCUUGAUUUUGCCUUUUGUUAAUACCCAGUGAUAGGAGUCCACCAAAAUGAAAGUGCAGAUGUGCUUGAUGUUGCUAGAUGCUUGGGAUGAGAUCGCAGAUGAUUGUUAUGGUGUUGCUAGGUGGUUGAGAUGGUAUUGCAAGUGAUUUUUAUGAUGUUGCUAGGUGGUGGAGAUGGGAUUGCAGGUGAUUGUUAAGAUGCUGCUAGGUGGUUGAGAUGGGAUUGCAGGUGAUUGUUAAGAUGCUGCUAGGUGGUUGAGAUGAGAUUGCAGAUGAUCGUUAAGAUGUAGCUAGAUGGUAGAGAUAUGAUUGCAAGUGAUUGUUAAGAUGCUGCUAGGUGGUUGAGAUGGGAUUGCAGGCGAUUGUUACAAUGCUGCUAGGUGUUUGAGAUGGUAUCCCAGGUGAUUGUUAUGGUGUUGCUAGGUGUUUGAGAUGGAAUCGCAGGUGAUUGUUAUGGUGUUGCUAGGUGGUUGAGAUGGUAUUCCAGGUGAGUUUUAUGGUGUUGCUGGGUGUUUUAGAUGGUAUCCCAGGUGAUUGUUAUGGUGUUGCUAGGUGUUUGAAAUGGGAUCGCAGGUGAUUGUUAUGGUGUUGCUAGGUGGUUGAGAUGGUAUCCCAGGUGAUUGUUAUGGUGUUGCUAGGUGUUUGAAAUGGGAUCGCAGGUGAUUGUUAUGGUGUUGCUAGGUGGUUGAGAUGGUAUCCCAGGUGAUUGUUAUGGUGUUGCUGGGUGUUUGAGAUGGAAUCGUAGGGAGCUGUAAUGUUAUUAGACACUGUGGCAUUAAUGUGUUAUGAAGCUGGCUAGCAUCGACUCAGAGCACAGAGUAAAACAGUCACUGAUUGGCUUGGCGAGAGUUUGCAGUGUCAGCACUGCUUAAGCCAACAUCACUCUAACGAUUAGCAAACGAUUAGCAGCCGUCUCUCACUGGGGUCCUUUUAGAAUCCAUUUUUAUGCAAAACACUGCAGUUUAAUUGAAUUUGAAAGCACAUUUUCUUUUCCUCUCCAGCUUGGAGCCUGGAAUCAGUUUCCAAUGUGGUAAAACAUUCUGAUCCUCCUAGUUGGGUAUGACCACCAUAUUUUUUUAUUUGUAGUUUUUUCAUGAUUGUAUAAUGAUAUUAAAACAAAUUUAUAUUGCAAUUAUAAUAGUUGAAUAUUUAUAAUAUUAGUUUAUGCCUUUUUAAAUGGAUGUAAUGGGUGUAGAGGUGCAUCUUUGUGGUAUUUAAUUGUCACUGUACCAGUGGCAUAAAAUGAUUAGUAAUUAUAAAUAGCUAUAACAUUAGUCAUAAGACUUACUGACAUAUUUAUAGUUUAAGAUUAAUAGUUUCAGAUAUUUCCAUUCACAAAAAAACAUAUUUGGGUCAAAAUCAUAAAUUAAAUUAGUACAAAAAAAGUAAAAAUCAGAAGUUCUGAUUGGAUUGUGAAGCUCGCUGGAGUUGCAAACAGAUCACAGACGAACUUCAAAGACCCGAGAUCUCAGAACCUCGAGGUGGAGCCCAGUGAUUUCAGUGCGAUGCUGUUACUGGGCCAGGUUGACACUGAUUGGCUGUUGGGUUGAGUUCUGUGUUGUCACUGUUCUCACAGUGUCCUCCAGCCAUUGUCUCUCCUAAACAGAGUGUGAUUGUUGAUGAUGCCGGUCUGAUCUGGCUUUGUAGUUGUUUGUUGCUGUGGAAGAUUUUAACGAGGAGUUCUGAACAGGAACAGGAUUCUCAGGCUGUUCAAUCUGAAGAGCUCAUUUAGAGCAGAGCUGCAUCUGUACCAUCAUGGUAGAAAGAGGUAGAGAGAGGCAGAGUGAGGUAGACUGUGGGUAGAGAGAGGUAGAGUGUUGUGGAAAGAGUUAAAAUGAGGCAGAUCAAGGUAGAGUGGGGUUAAAUCGAGGGUAGGGCAAGUAACAAGGUAGUAAAGUGGAUUGAGGU